RNAcentral lists this ribosomal RNA (273 nucleotides) under Triticum aestivum (bread wheat). RNAcentral's name for it is "partial small subunit ribosomal RNA". The record is from RNAcentral. Lineage: Eukaryota; Viridiplantae; Streptophyta; Magnoliopsida; Poales; Poaceae.
AUUGUCACAAAUAGCACCUGUGAUAUAUGCGGCAAUGCGGAGGAAGAUGAAUAUCAUGCUGUGGUAUCAUGCACAAAAAGUAGAGCUCUAAGACAAGCAAUGAGGAAUCAUUGGAGGCUCCCGAAAGAAAAUUCUUUCUGGUACACAGGAGAGGAUUGGCUCCAAAACCUUCUGAAUACAUGCGAUUCUGACACCCGGAACAAAAUCCUAAUUAUGCUAUGGCGAGCAUGGUUUCUCAGAGAUAAUAUAAUCCAUAGCGAUGGAAAGGAGACG